Molecule: ribosomal RNA, 478 nt
Filed under: uncultured bacterium
Lineage: Bacteria
Description: partial 16S ribosomal RNA
Rfam family: Bacterial small subunit ribosomal RNA
Source: RNAcentral
GACGAACGCUGGCGGCGUGCUUAACACAUGCAAGUCGAACGGUAAGGCCCUUCGGGGUACACGAGUGGCGAACGGGUGAGUAACACGUGGGUGAUCUGCCCUGCACUUCGGGAUAAGCCUGGGAAACUGGGUCUAAUACCGGAUAGGACCACUGCCUGCAUGGGUGGUGGUGGAAAGCUUUUGCGGUGUGGGAUGGGCCCGCGGCCUAUCAGCUUGUUGGUGGGGUGAUGGCCUACCAAGGCGACGACGGGUAGCCGGCCUGAGAGGGUGACCGGCCAAACUGGGACUGCGAUACGGCCCAGACUCCGACGGGAGGCAGCAGUGGGGAAUAUUGCACAAUGGGCGCAAGCCUGAUGCAGCGCCGCCGCGUGAGGGAUGACGGCCUUCGGGUUGUAAACCUCUUUCAGCACCGACGAAGCGCAAGUGACGGUAGGCGCAGAAGAAGGACCGGCCAACUACGUGCCAGCCGCCGCCGUAA